GUAAAUUAGUGGAUUUAAGAAAAGUGAGCACUUUGGUUUGAUAACCGUUGUGCAUGGUAGACACUAAGGCUUGAUUAUUUCCUUUUUAUGAAUUUAUCAAUUCUAGUUGUAAUUUGAUUUAUUCUGUUGAUCAUAAAGUGUGUAAAUAUAACAAUAAAUGUUUCCUGAACGUUCGUAUAUCUCUAAGAUAUAGGACAGACACUUCGGAACAAACGUCCUUUAGAUCCUUUUUUGGAGUGUGCAGAGCUGUCAUCAAGGCAAAGGGGGACUACUUUGAAGAAUCUCAAAUAUAAAAUAUAUUUAGAUUUGUUUAAAACAUUUUUGGUUACUACAUGAUUCCCUAUGUGUUAUUUCAUAGUUUUGAUGUCUUCACUAUUAUUCUACAAUGUAGAAAAUAAAGAAAAACCCUGGAUGCGUAGGUGUGUCCAAACUUUUGAGUGGUACUGUAUAUAUUUAUUUUACUUUAAUGGAUCUUAAAAAUCAAAUAGCAAAUGAUCCUUGAUAUGACCUUCUUAAAGCAAUUCUUUAUAGCUUAGUAGAGCGUUUUCAGAUCAAGCAUUAAUUGCCUCUUAGACAGUGCUUAGACUGUUCAGUGCUGAAAAUAAGGGUUAUACAUGUUCAAAAUAAAUAAUGUUUCCUGAUCUUUCUUAUAUCUCUCACAUAUAGGACAGACAAUUCCAAACUUCCUUUUGAAUCUUUUGCAGACUACCUGUUCCAUGAAGUGAAUUUGUUAUACAAUGCUUUUGUAUGGGUUAAUAGUAAGGCCCAAAAUAAUUUUCCUAAUUGGAUAUAAAAAAAAUGUAUACUCUUAAAAUAAUUCAAACUCAAAUAGCUAAAUGUUUCUUGGUAUGACCUUCUUAAAACAAUUCCAUAUAGCUUAGUACCUAUAACAAUACUGAACCAAAGUAAGUUUGUGGAAAUAAUCAUGAAUAGUGAGCACUUUGGUUUGAUAACAGUUUUGCAUAAUAGACAUUUAAUAGGGAUUUUGUUUUUGAAGUGUGUGCCCUCUCUGUAAGUCAGUAUCUGGCCCUCAUGGUGCCCCACAUCCAUGUCCAUUCUGAAGAGCACAGAAGCCAAGAUCCUUGACAGUUAGUCCACUUAUCUAAUAUGUCUGAAAGUAUUUCACAGGUACACACCAGUCCUGACUUGACUACUUGAUUAUGUCACAUUGUAUCGCCCGCACUUUUUGUGGUCUCACCUCCAUUUUUCUCCUUUUCCGAGACUCAAAAUGAUGUGUGGGCUCGUUUUGUGUCCCUGCCCAAUCAGGAUUUGGACCCUAACUGUCACCAACAGGAACCAGCUAAAUGCUCCCAAGCCUGGUACUCUCUGUCCCCUUCUCUAUAGUGUUUUUGUCAGUCAGUACCAAAUACUCACUUUUCCAGUGGAGUGGACAUACCUUUUGUACUACAUUGAGUCCGCCUACCAUUUCCCUUUUCCUCCUCUAUUCCAGUUGCACAGACACCUCUUAGGAUGGUCCAUGAUAUGGAUUUGGGGGAGGGGUAGGGUUUUGGAUACUUAACCUAGACCCUUCUGUCGCUCUCAACCACACUUUGUGUUUGACUUGCUGGGUUUCGGACAGACCCCAAUUCCCCAUGGACUCAGCUCUGGCUGAGGAGCAGUCAGUCAGCACUGGAGGCGGGCCCUUGACCUGGAUCGCAUGCUCCUAUUGGGUCACUGUCUGGACUGCUACUUGGCAGCAUCUUAUGCCAUUCAAUACCCUGAGAGUCAGUCACCUGAUUCUGGUUGACCGCUGGGGCUUCCAGCCCAUGCCUGUAGACGCAACCUCAGGAUUGACCAGACCAGGCUGCCCUUGGACCCGAAUAGCCUUUUCCACACUUUUCAACCCACUGGCAUUGAUCUGAGCCGCAGGACCCUCGGGUGAGAGGGGACUGGUUGUCUGAGUGGCAUGGCUUGUGGUUCAGGGAUUAAAGAUAAUAUAGAUAAUAUAUUAUAAUAUAACUCUUUCUUUUGAUAUUUUGUCUCCUUUUUUCCCUAAUCUUUACGACCCCAUCUUUAUUUCCCAGGUCAAAAAUUAGUUAACAGAUUUGGUCCGGAUUUCAAUGGGAGGUUUCAGGGCCUACUUGAUAAAGACACUAUAGACAGAUUGGCUGACAUUGUCAUGAAAAUGAUGCGCUCACAUUGAUGUGGCCGGAAGGUGUCCUUUAGGAUACUGAACAGUCCUAUAUCUAGCAACAAUGACAAGAAGCUGCCUCGUGGGUAAUUGUAAGUGGCUAAUUUCAGCUCGUUGUAUCUUGUUAUUGAUACCAUGUCUUGUUUUGGCUGAUGUCAUGUCUAUGCUAAUAUAGCAAAAUUUCGCUAGCUAGCUAAUCAAUAUCACCAUUCACUAGCUAGCUAAGAAUGUAUUUGAGAGACAAGUGAUCAUUGUGCAAAUGUAUUUGUCUUUUCAAUAAACAUUUUCAGACAAAA
Oncorhynchus keta (chum salmon) is the source of this 2427-nucleotide long non-coding RNA. RefSeq lists it as uncharacterized. The record is from RefSeq and is a predicted model, not a curated record. Lineage: Eukaryota; Metazoa; Chordata; Actinopteri; Salmoniformes; Salmonidae. The transcript is spliced from 2 exons.